AUCUUGCGCAAUGGGCGAAAGCCGGACGCAGCCAUGCCGCGUGAAUGAUGAAGGUCUUAGGAUUGUAAAAUUCUUUCAUCGGGGAAGAUAAUGACGGUAACCGGAGAAGAAGCCUCGGCUAACUUCGUGCCAACCGCCGCGGUAAUACGAAGGGGGCUAGCGUUGCACGGAAUUACUGGGCGUAAAGGGCGCGUAGGCGGACAUUUAAGUGAUGGGUGAAAUCCCAGAGCUCCACUCUGGAACUGCCUUUGAUACUGGCGAUCUUGAGUAUGAGGGAGGUAUGUGGAACUCCGAGUGUAGAGGUGAAAUUCGUAGAUAUUCGGAAGAACACCAGUGGCGAAGGCGACAUACUGGCUCAUUACUGACGCUGAGGCGCGAAAGCGUGGGGAGCAAACA
Molecule: ribosomal RNA, 396 nt
Filed under: uncultured bacterium
Lineage: Bacteria
Description: partial 16S ribosomal RNA
Rfam family: Bacterial small subunit ribosomal RNA
Source: RNAcentral